GUGAACGCUGGCGGUAGGCCUAACACAUGCAAGUCGAACGGCAGCACAGUAAGAGCUUGCUCUUACGGGUGGCGAGUGGCGGACGGGUGAGGAAUACAUCGGAAUCUACUUUUUCGUGGGGGAUAACGUAGGGAAACUUACGCUAAUACCGCAUACGACCUACGGGUGAAAGCAGGGGAUCUUCGGACCUUGCGCGAUUGAAUGAGCCGAUGUCGGAUUAGCUAGUUGGCGGGGUAAAGGCCCACCAAGGCGACGAUCCGUAGCUGGUCUGAGAGGAUGAUCAGCCACACUGGAACUGAGACACGGUCCAGACUCCUACGGGAGGCAGCAGUGGGGAAUAUUGGACAAUGGGCGCAAGCCUGAUCCAGCCAUACCGCGUGGGUGAAGAAGGCCUUCGGGUUGUAAGGCCCUUUUGUUGGGAAAGAAAAGCAGCAGGUUAAUACCCCGCUGUUCUGACGGUACCCAAAGAAUAAGCACCGGCUAACUUCGUG
RNAcentral lists this ribosomal RNA (491 nucleotides) under uncultured bacterium. Its description in RNAcentral is "partial 16S ribosomal RNA". It matches the Rfam family "Bacterial small subunit ribosomal RNA", at positions 29 to 507 of the family's 1533-position model. The record is from RNAcentral.